Molecule: long non-coding RNA, 272 nt
Organism: Xenia sp. Carnegie-2017
Lineage: Eukaryota; Metazoa; Cnidaria; Anthozoa; Malacalcyonacea; Xeniidae
Exons: 2
Source: RefSeq, a predicted model, not a curated record
CACCUCAUGAAAAUAAGAAUCAGCAAACAGAUAAAGUUACAGAACUGUCGCAAGAUAAUGUCAACAAAGGUGAAGAUCAAGAAUCACCUCAUGAAAAUAAGAAUCAGCAAACAGAUAAAGUUACAAAACGGUCGCAAGAUAAUGUCAACAGUGGUGAAGAUCAAAAAUCACCUCAAGAAAAUAAGAAUCAGCCUACAGAUAAAGUUACAGAACUGUCGCAAGAUAAUGGCAACAAAGAUGAAGAUCAAAAAUCACCUCAUGAAAAUAAGAAU